UUGACCUCAAAUCAGAUAGGACUACCCGCUGAACUUAAGCAUAUCAAUAAGCGGAGGAAAAGAAACUAACAAGGAUUCCCCUAGUAACUGCGAGUGAAGCGGGAAAAGCUCAAAUUUGAAAUCUGGCGGCUCUUUGACCGUCCGAGUUGUAAUCUAGAGAAGUGCUACCCGUGCUGGACUGUGUACAAGUCUCCUGGAAUGGGGCAUCAUAGAGGGUGAGAAUCCCGUCUUUGACACGGACUGCCAGUGCGCCCUGGGUGUGCUCUCGAAGAGUCGAGUUGUUUGGGAAUGCAGCUCAAAAUGGGUGGUAAAUGCCAUCUAAAGCUAAAUAUUGGCGAGAGACCGAUAGCGAACAAGUACCGUGAGGGAAAGAUGAAAAGAACUUUGGAAAGAGAGUUAAACAGUACGUGAAAUUGCUGAAAGGGAAACGCUUGAAGUCAGUCGCGUUGGCCAGAAAUCAGCCUUGCUUCUGCUUGGUGUACUUUCUGGUCUUUACGGGUCAGCAUCAAUCUUGACCGCCGGAUAAAGUCUUUGGGAAUGUGGCAUCUUUUGGAUGUGUUAUAGCCCAUCGUCGCAUACGGCGGCUGGGAUUGAGGAACUCAGCACGCCCGCAAGGGAUCGGGUCCUUGGACCACGUCUUUCGUGCUUAGGAUGCUGGCAUAAUGGCUUUAAUCGACCCGUC
RNAcentral lists this ribosomal RNA (682 nucleotides) under Inocybe mixtilis. Its description in RNAcentral is "eukaryotic LSU rRNA". It matches the Rfam family "Eukaryotic large subunit ribosomal RNA", at positions 1 to 653 of the family's 3401-position model. The record is from RNAcentral. Lineage: Eukaryota; Fungi; Basidiomycota; Agaricomycetes; Agaricales; Inocybaceae.